CCUACGGGUGGCUGCAGUGAGGAAUAUUGGUCAAUGGACGAAAGUCUGAACCAGCCAAGUCGCGUGCAGGAUGACUGCCCUAUGAGUUGUAAACUUCUUUUGUAAGGGAAUAAAACGAGUCACGUGUGGGUUUUUGAAUGUACUUUAUGAAUAAGGAUCGGCUAACUCCGUGCCAGCAGCCGCGGUAAUACGGAGGAUUCGAGCGUUAUCCGGAUUUAUUGGGUUUAAAGGGUGCGUAGGCUGUCUGUUAAGUCAGUGGUGAAAGUUGGCGGCUUAACCCUAAGAUUGCAAUUGAUACUGGUAGUCUUGAGUGCAGGUGAGGUAGGCGGAAUGCGUGGUGUAGCGGUGAAAUGCUUAGAUAUCACGAAGAACCCCGAUUGCGAAGGCAGCUUACUAAUCCGCGUCUGACGUUGAUGCUCGAAAGCGUGGGUAGCAAACAGGAUUAGAUACCCUUGUAGUC
RNAcentral lists this ribosomal RNA (460 nucleotides) under uncultured bacterium. Its description in RNAcentral is "partial 16S ribosomal RNA". It matches the Rfam family "Bacterial small subunit ribosomal RNA", at positions 338 to 795 of the family's 1533-position model. The record is from RNAcentral.